GAUGGACUGGCACAGACGUUGCUGUAACAUAAUUUGCUGUUCGCCAUGGGGAGGAGGCGGCAAGGAGGUCCAUGGGCUCUAACCUGGGACUAGAGGUCCAGGUGAAGUGGUUUGGCUGGGGUGUGGUGAUAUUGAACCCAUUGAGACUAUACAGUACAUUUCACUUUAUGUCUAUUGAUGGACUGUUACACCUACCCUUUACUUAUGCCAAACCCAUUUCUGUUCUUUAAAUAUCAGAAAGCAAACUUACUGUUGAUGGCACUGAACUUGCACUUGGAAAUGUUUAUGGAACUGUUCUGAACUGUGAAUUACAUUAAAACUCAUGCCAAACCAA
Alosa alosa (allis shad) is the source of this 334-nucleotide long non-coding RNA. RefSeq lists it as uncharacterized. Lineage: Eukaryota; Metazoa; Chordata; Actinopteri; Clupeiformes; Clupeidae. The transcript is spliced from 2 exons. The record is from RefSeq and is a predicted model, not a curated record.